This is a non-coding RNA of Acanthosepion pharaonis, 114 nucleotides long. The record is from the annotation of a GenBank genome assembly. NCBI's taxonomy places the organism in Eukaryota, Metazoa, Mollusca, Cephalopoda, Sepiida, Sepiidae.
UUACGGCCAUAUGAUGUUGAAACACUGGUUCCUGUACGAUCACCGAAGUUAAGCAACGUCGAGCCAGGUCAGUAUCUAGAUGGGUCAUCGUUUUGGAAUACCAGGUAAUGUAAG